This 390-nucleotide long non-coding RNA is filed under the name Brassica rapa (field mustard). RNAcentral's name for it is "long non-coding RNA (BRAP_LNC001622)". Lineage: Eukaryota; Viridiplantae; Streptophyta; Magnoliopsida; Brassicales; Brassicaceae. The record is from RNAcentral.
UGAUAAGAAGAUGAGUAUAGAAUGUCAACAUAUUUUAAGUUUUUUUUAUUUACUGCGCAAAAUUAAAUCAUAUUAUUUCUGAACAUUCACAGAAAUAUGAACAUUUGCUUUUAUCAAUUUGGAUAUCUGAAAAGAGAAUUUAUUCGUGGAUUGCAACUCUUCUCAAAAAAAUAAUCCGAGUCCUUUUCUAAGUUCAGAAUACUUCGGAUUUAAAAUGGACGACCGCACUUAGUUAUUUAAAUUGCGCAUAUGCUAUGACUAAAACGUCUUAUAUUUAAGCAUAUUAUUUUUUUUUUUCAUCUGAUUUUCAUUGAUAGCAAUGGAAGAAACAAUCAGUUUUUUUUCCCAUCAUAUUAUUGUUUAAUAUUAGUGAAAUUACAUUAAUGUUUU